UUUCAUGUAGCGGACCGACGGGAGCUUGCUCCCUUAGGUCAGCGGCGGACGGGUGAGAAACACGUGGGUAACCUGCCUGUAAGACUGGGAUAACUCCGGGAAACCGGGGCUAAUACCGGAUGCUUGAUUGAACCGCAUGGUUCAAUCAUAAAAGGGGGCUUUUAGCUACCACUUGCAGAUGGACCCGCGGCGCAUUAGCUAGUUGGUGAGGUAACGGCUCACCAAGGCGACGAUGCGUAGCCGACCUGAGAGGGUGAUCGGCCACACUGGGACUGAGACACGGCCCAGACUCCUACGGGAGGCAGCAGUAGGGAAUCUUCCGCAAUGGACGAAAGUCUGACGGAGCAACGCCGCGUGAGUGAUGAAGGUUUUCGGAUCGUAAAACUCUGUUGUUAGGGAAGAACAAGUACCGUUCGAAUAGGGCGGCACCUUGACGGUACCUAACCAGAAAGCCACGGCUAACUACGUGCCAGCAGCCGCGGUAAUACGUAGGUGGCAAGCGUUGUCCGGAAUUAUUGGGCGUAAAGCGCGCGCAGGCGGUUUCUUAAGUCUGAUGUGAAAGCCCCCGGCUCAACCGGGGAGGGUCAUUGGAAACUGGGGAACUUGUGUGCAGAAGAGGAGAGUGGAAUUCCACGUGUAGCGGUGAAAUGCGUAGAGAUGUGGAGGAACACCAGUGGCGAAGGCGACUCUCUGGUCUGUAACUGACGCUGAGGCGCGAAGCGUGGGGAGCGAAAGGAUUAGAUACCCUGGUAGUCCACGCCGUAAAACGAUGAAUGGCUAAUGUUAGAGG
This 790-nucleotide ribosomal RNA is filed under the name Bacillus sp. xfchu5. Its description in RNAcentral is "bacterial SSU rRNA". It matches the Rfam family "Bacterial small subunit ribosomal RNA", at positions 51 to 829 of the family's 1533-position model. Lineage: Bacteria; Bacillati; Bacillota; Bacilli; Caryophanales; Bacillaceae. The record is from RNAcentral.